This 890-nucleotide non-coding RNA is filed under the name Halieutaea stellata (batfish). Its description in RNAcentral is "partial 12S ribosomal RNA". It matches the Rfam family "Bacterial small subunit ribosomal RNA". The record is from RNAcentral. Lineage: Eukaryota; Metazoa; Chordata; Actinopteri; Lophiiformes; Ogcocephalidae.
AUUCCGGUGAAAACGCCCUACCGUACCCCACCCCGGGUACAAGGAGUAGGUAUCAGGCACGACAUUUUUUCAGCCCACGACGCCUCGCUUAUAGCCACACCCCCAAGGGAACUCAGCAGUGAUAGACAUUGAGCCAUAAGUGAAAGCUUGACUCAGUCAGGGUUAAGAGGGUCGGUAAAACUCGUGCCAGCUACCGCGGUUAUACGAGAGACCCAAAUUGACAAGUUCGGCGUAAAGCGUGGUUAAGGAUAACUUAAAGUAAAGCCGAAUAUACUCAAGGCUGUUAUAAGCUCCCGAUUACAAGAAGCCCGACUACGAAAGUGACUUUACAAUACCUGAUCCCACGAAAGCUAGGGUACAAACUGGGAUUAGAUACCCCACUAUGCCUAGCCUCAAACAAUGAUAAUAACUUACACACAUUAUCCGCCAGGGGAUUACAAGCAAUGCUUAAAACCCAAAGGACUUGACGGUGCUUUAGACCCACCUAGAGGAGCCUGUUCUAGAACCGACAACCCCCGUUCAACCUCACCCUCCCUUGUUUUCCCCGCCUAUAUACCGCCGUCGUCAGCCUACCCCCUGAGGGUUAAAUAGUAAGCGAAAUUGGCCCACCCCAACACGUCAGGUCGAGGUGUAGCGCAUGAGAGGGGAUGAAAUGGGCUACAUUCCCUACUACAGGGCACACGAAUUACAUGUUGAAAUACAUAUCUGAAGGAGGAUUUAGCAGUAAGCAAAAAAUAGAGAGUUAAGCUGAAACUGGCCCUGAAGCGAGCACACACCGCCCGUCACUCUCCCCCGCCUAAAAUCUGAUAGAUACCUUAACAAAUGUCUUAAGGCAAUGGGGAGGCAAGUCGUAACAUGGUAAGUGUACCGGAAGGUGCACUUGGAAAAAC